GCUUGGCAGAAAAGAUUGCAAAUCUAACUUUAGAAAGAGAUAACGGUUUUGUAGAGCGGCGUCUUAUAGCUGAGAAUG
This is a long non-coding RNA of Maniola jurtina (meadow brown), 78 nucleotides long. RefSeq lists it as uncharacterized. The record is from RefSeq and is a predicted model, not a curated record. NCBI's taxonomy places the organism in Eukaryota, Metazoa, Arthropoda, Insecta, Lepidoptera, Nymphalidae. The transcript is spliced from 3 exons.